Long non-coding RNA from Mus musculus (house mouse), 1788 nucleotides. RefSeq annotates it as RIKEN cDNA 4930461C15 gene. The record is from RefSeq and is a predicted model, not a curated record. NCBI's taxonomy places the organism in Eukaryota, Metazoa, Chordata, Mammalia, Rodentia, Muridae. The transcript has 3 exons.
GCCGGCCCCGCUCUCUCGCCCUCCCUCCCUCCCGCGCGCGCUGGCCACGCCUCCUCCUCAUGCUGAGACCAAUGAGCGGCCAGAUCUGGUCCAGCUCCUUCCGUGCCGUCCAAUCAUCACGCCGUCUGCUCUGUCGACCUGUUAGCUCCUCUCCUAAAGCUCCACCGCCCCUCAUCCGCGUCUGCCAAUCGCCCUGGACCUCUGGGAGCGUCCCACCCGCCUCCCUCGAUCCGGGUUCGCCCCCAAGCCGGGGCCGGGAGCGGUCCCCGCCCCGCUGAAGAGCCUGUAGUUUUUGGGACCACUGCCCAGAGAGAACCCGCCGAGACUCUCUGCUUCCUGAGUUUCUUUUCUGGAGGUUUGGCUGGAGAGCAGCCCGGAGAACAUUCCCCUACUGCCUGACCAUGGGAAGUCAUAGGAGGAGCACCGAUGUGUGAGAAUUGAGACACAGUGCUGCCCACCAUGUCUCUCCACUUCUCAUUAUGGCUGUACAACCAGUUUCAGAAGGCUUCUGUGAGAUAACGAAAUGUUUCCUGGGAACCUUCCACCAAAGUCAUAUAUCAGGCGUUCGAGUCUAGACCAGUCACUGCCCCAGGGCAGUCCAGGUUUACAUUUACUCUCCCAUACUUUCUGCAUACUUCUCUAGUCAAGCUUGCCAUUCUCUUUGCCUAGGGGGACUCAGUUUCCCUGUAGGCUGAUGUCUGCUGAGUCAGUGGGGAUAGGGCAGUUUGACCCAUGAGAUUUACCUGCUCAGGGCCAGGACCUAACUGGUGAUUGUGAAAAAUCACUCAGCGUGAAUAGGUUUGUAGAAGGCCGCCACCAUCAUAGGGGCCACAGCUAGAAGCUAGAGUGUGUCCCAUUGGCAAGCCCGGCCCCUCAGCUUUCCUACAGAAUCUCAAGAAAGUGAGAACUUCAGAGAUUCCCUUGGGUGCAAAACAACAGCACAAGCCCAGAAGGAGUGGAGACCUCACAACACACGAGAUCCUGGACAUGAGGCAGACCCUGUAACCACAGCAGUUGUCUCUUUGGGUUGGUAAAUGAAAUAAUGCUUUGAAUGUAGGCUCUAGGGCAGAGAUGGACUUGAGGAAAACACCACAUAGGAUAACUGAAUAUGAAACACUAGGAAUAAAGGUCUGUAUCAUUUUAAUGCAUAGUCACUCCAUGGGAAGAUGUUUAAAAAAUAGAAACAGAUUUCUGAUGUGAAUUUUAAUUUACAAGAUCUUCUCUUCCCUGAUGUCUCCUUCUUCCUCUUUUUUUUUCUCAUUCUUUUCCUUUCAUCUUCUCCUAGUCAAUAAAGAGCAACGGGACUUGACAUCCAGAGAGAAAGAAAUAUGAGGAGCCACACCCCACAAUUUCAUCUUGUAAAUGAGCUUAGGAAAGGAGAACAGGAGGGAAAGCCCCCGGGGCUGUCGGCCUGGGCUUCUGUCACUGCAGACAUCUGGCUUUUAAUGACAUGAUAUGGGAAGAAUCAUUUGGCACCAUCAUUGCUGUUAAAUGUCUUUCAAGCAUUAAUAAAACAUAAGAGACUCGCUUAAAAUGGCAUUUAUACUGGAAACCUUACGGUGAUGGCAUGCUUGCUGGGAACAGCGAAGAAUUAAAAUUUAGACUUGAGAUACUGUUUAGCAUCCGAGAAACUCAGCUGUUUCAUAAGAUCAUGGAAACAGCCCUGGAGAAAGAGCAUGCACUGAGCUCCUGCUGCGGACGGACGGCUCUUUAGCCUGCAAGGUCCCAGCCUUGGCUUAAGUUUCUCUGUCAGGUACAGAAAAUGGAUGAAUACUGUGAGAAAGUUAA